Molecule: ribosomal RNA, 465 nt
Filed under: uncultured bacterium
Lineage: Bacteria
Description: partial 16S ribosomal RNA
Rfam family: Bacterial small subunit ribosomal RNA
Source: RNAcentral
GAUGAACGCUGGCGGCGUGCUUAACACAUGCAAGUCGAACGAUGAAGCCCAGCUUGCUGGGUGGAUUAGUGGCGAACGGGUGAGUAACACGUGAGUAACCUGCCCUUGACUCUUGGAUAAGCCCGGGAAACUGGGUCUAAUACUGGAUAGGAACGUCUACCGCAUGGUGGGUGUUGGAAAGAAUUUCGGUCAUGGAUGGACUCGCGGCCUAUCAGCUUGUUGGUGAGGUAAUGGCUCACCAAGGCGACGACGGGUAGCCGGCCUGAGAGGGUGACCGGCCACACUGGGACUGAGACACGGCCCAGACUCCUACGGGAGGCAGCAGUGGGGAAUAUUGCACAAUGGGCGAAAGCCUGAUGCAGCGACGCCGCGUGAGGGAUGACGGCCUUCGGGUUGUAAACCUCUUUCAGUAGGGAAGAAGCGAAAGUGACGGUACCUGCAGAAGAAGCACCGGCUAACUACGUG